GCGUGAGGAACCUGCCUUUCAGAGGGGGACAACAGUUGGAAACGACUGCUAAUACCGCAUAACACAUAGGUGUCGCAUGGCAUUUAUGUCAAAGAUUUAUCGCUGAAAGAUGGCCUCGCGUCUGAUUAGCUAGUUGGUGAGGUAACGGCUCACCAAGGCGACGAUCAGUAGCCGGACUGAGAGGUUGGCCGGCCACAUUGGGACUGAGAUACGGCCCAGACUCCUACGGGAGGCAGCAGUGGGGAAUAUUGGGCAAUGGGCGCAAGCCUGACCCAGCAACGCCGCGUGAAGGAAGAAGGCUUUCGGGUUGUAAACUUCUUUUGACAGGGAAGAGUAGAAGACGGUACCUGUCGAAUAAGCCACGGCUAACUACGUGCCAGCAGCCGCGGUAAUACGUAGGUGGCAAGCGUUGUCCGGAUUUACUGGGUGUAAAGGGCGUGUAGCCGGGUUGACAAGUCAGAUGUGAAAUCCUGCGGCUUAACCGCAGAACUGCAUUUGAAACUGUUGAUCUUGAGUACUGGAGAGGCAGACGGAAUUCCUAGUGUAGCGGUGAAAUGCGUAGAUAUUAGGAGGAACACCAGUGGCGAAGGCGGUCUGCUGGACAGCAACUGACGGUGAGGCGCGAAAGCGUGGGGAGCAAACAGGAUUAGAUACCCCGGUAGUCCACGCUGUAAACGAUGGAUACUAGGUGU
This 692-nucleotide ribosomal RNA is filed under the name uncultured bacterium. RNAcentral's name for it is "bacterial SSU rRNA". It matches the Rfam family "Bacterial small subunit ribosomal RNA", at positions 115 to 823 of the family's 1533-position model. The record is from RNAcentral.